This is a non-coding RNA of Schistosoma rodhaini, 48 nucleotides long. The record is from Rfam. NCBI's taxonomy places the organism in Eukaryota, Metazoa, Platyhelminthes, Trematoda, Strigeidida, Schistosomatidae.
AUCCAGCUGAUGAAUCCCAAAUAGGACGAGACGCGCGUCAAACUGAAU